AGAGUUUGAUCCUGGCUCAGAUUGAACGCUGGCGGCAUGCCUUACACAUGCAAGUCGAACGGCAGCGCGGGGCAACCUGGCGGCGAGUGGCGAACGGGUGAGUAAUAUAUCGGAACGUGCCCUGGAGUGGGGGAUAACGCAGCGAAAGUUGCGCUAAUACCGCAUACGAUCUAAGGAUGAAAGCAGGGGACCGCAAGGCCUUGUGCUCCUGGAGCGGCCGAUAUCUGAUUAGCUAGUUGGUGGGGUAAAGGCCUACCAAGGCAUCGAUCAGUAGCUGGUCUGAGAGGACGACCAGCCACACUGGAACUGAGACACGGUCCAGACUCCUACGGGAGGCAGCAGUGGGGAAUUUUGGACAAUGGGCGAAAGCCUGAUCCAGCAAUGCCGCGUGAGUGAAGAAGGCCUUCGGGUUGUAAAGCUCUUUUGUCAGGGAAGAAACGGUGCGGGCUAAUAUCCCGCACUAAUGACGGUACCUGAAGAAUAAGCACCGGCUAACUACGUGCCAGCAGCCGCGGUAAUACGUAGGGUGCAAGCGUUAAUCGGAAUUACUGGGCGUAAAGCGUGCGCAGGCGGUUUUGUAAGUUUGUCGUGAAAGCCCCGGGCUCAACCUGGGAAUUGCGAUGAAGACUGCAAGGCUUGAAUCUGGCAGAGGGGGGUAGAAUUCCACGUAGCAGUGAAAUGCGUAGAGAUGUGGAGGAACACCGAUGGCGAAGGCAGCCCCCUGGGUCAAGAUUGACGCUCAUGCACGAAAGCGUGGGGAGCAAACAGGAUUAGAUACCCUAGUAGUCC
This 789-nucleotide ribosomal RNA is filed under the name uncultured bacterium. Its description in RNAcentral is "bacterial SSU rRNA". It matches the Rfam family "Bacterial small subunit ribosomal RNA", at positions 8 to 796 of the family's 1533-position model. The record is from RNAcentral.